GAUGAAGAACGUAGCGAAAUGCGAUAAGUAAUGUGAAUUGCAGAUUUCCAGUGAAUCAUCGAAUCUUUGAACGCACCUUGCGCCCCUUGGUUAUUCCAAAGGGCAUGCCUGUUUGAGUAUCAUGAACACCUCAACUCUUGUGGUUUCCCACAAUGAGCUUGGACUGUGGAGGUUUUGUUGGCCCUGUGGUCAGCUCCUCUCAAAUGGAUCAGCUUACCGGUGUUUGGUGGCAUUACGGGUGUGAUAACUAUCUACGCUCGUGGUCGUCUCCAAAUAACCUCCAGUGAUGGAGGUUCGCUGGAGCUUAUAAAUGUCUCUCCCCAGUGAAGACAGCCUUUGAACGUUCGAUCUCAAAUCAGGUAGGACUACCCGCUGAACUUAAGCAUAUCAAUAAGCGGAGGA
RNAcentral lists this unclassified non-coding RNA (402 nucleotides) under soil metagenome. RNAcentral's name for it is "partial contains 5.8S ribosomal RNA, internal transcribed spacer 2, and large subunit ribosomal RNA". The stretch from base 1 to 122 matches the Rfam family "5.8S ribosomal RNA", at positions 35 to 154 of the family's 154-position model. The record is from RNAcentral.